UACGGGGGGAGCGAGCGUUGUUCGGAUUUACUGGGCGUAAAGGGCGCGUAGGCGGUCAGCACAAGUCAGUUGUGAAAUCUCCGAGCUUAACUCGGAAAGGUCAACUGAUACUGUGCGACUAGAGUGCAGAAGGGGCAACUGGAAUUCUUGGUGUAGCGGUGAAAUGCGUAGAUAUCGGGAGGAACACCAGUAGCGAAGGCGGCACUCUGGGCCGGUACUGACGCUGAGGAGCGAAAGCGUGGGGAGCGAACAGG
RNAcentral lists this ribosomal RNA (254 nucleotides) under uncultured bacterium. RNAcentral describes it as "partial 16S ribosomal RNA". It matches the Rfam family "Bacterial small subunit ribosomal RNA", at positions 524 to 776 of the family's 1533-position model. The record is from RNAcentral.